Long non-coding RNA from Acinonyx jubatus (cheetah), 2501 nucleotides. RefSeq lists it as uncharacterized. The transcript has 3 exons. Lineage: Eukaryota; Metazoa; Chordata; Mammalia; Carnivora; Felidae. The record is from RefSeq and is a predicted model, not a curated record.
GAGAGCCAGUGGGGGAGGGGCAGAGAGAGAGGGAGACAGAGAGUCUAAGCAGGCUCCAGGCUCCACACUGUCAGCACAGAGCCUGAUGUGGGGCUCGAACUCACGAACUCUGAGAUCAUGACCCAAGCCAAAGUCAGAUGCUUAACUGACUAAGCUACCCAGGCACCCUGAAGGUCUCACCUUUAGAAGCCUUGAGAGACACAUCAGAGCCCUGGGCACUGUCACAGCCACAGUACAACAGGACGUGGUCAGAGCCUCCAGGAGAUGAGACAAGGGAGCUAUGGGGUGGGUGAGCUCCUCAUGGGGCCCCGUCUGCACUACCCAGGGUCUCAGGGAUCACCCCGUCCAUACUUACUUGCAGACUGAGUGUAGCUCCAUCUUUUCCCCUGUGAGAACAAAACAUCGUGUCAGAGGCCAGGGAGAAGGCUUGGGCCCUGACGUCCUAAAGGGGCCCCUGAAAUUUUGGCCUCCAAAGAAAUUUCCAGAACUUUAACUACAGACCUAGGGCAAGAUUACACAAUGUGAGGUAAGAGGACAUGUGGAAACUAGAUCAAAGCUUCCUGGAGGUCUGUGUGCAGCAGGGCCUCCCCUCUGUCCUGUGACUGCUGGGAAUCAGGUCCCAUCACCAGAAGCAUCGAGGUGAACGUUUUGUCUCUUUUUCAGGUGUGAUUUUCGAAAGAGUAUUAGCAAACAAGGUCCAACUGGGUGAGCACAUGUGUGUGGAUGGUGCCUCUCAGGACUGAGGCAAGACACUGGAAAAUUACAUAUGGCUUGAACCCCUCCCCCCUCCCCCCAUCACUCUCCCUGCAACCUCGUGCAAGAAAACUCUGACCUCACCCCUUUCCCUGUGGGAGCUCUUCCUCCUCCAGGUCCCAGGUCCAGUGGCCACAGCUCCAAGGACAGCCAGACCAGCAAUGAUUCCCAUGAUGGGGAUGUUGGAGUGAUGCAGGGGCUCUGGGAACGAAAGGGAAGGCUGACGGGAUCCUGUAGCCUCCCGUGCUGCACAGGCACGUGUAUCUCUGCUCCUCUCCCAGAAGGCACCACUACAGCCGCCCAUUUCUGGAAGGUCCCGGCUCGGCAGGCCUGGUGUCCACAAGCUCCGUGUCCUGGGUCAGGACCUCACACUGCCAGGUCACAGUAAUCUCUGUCCAGUAGAAGCCCACAGCCCUUCACUUCAGGGUCCCCUCAUGGUCAGAGAUGGGGUGGCAGGUCACAUGUGUCUGUGGAGGAUCUGAGGAGAAGGGUCAGAGACUUUAGGAACUUUGCAUCAUCCCCCGGGGGCCACCGAAGCAGCACUCAUGUGACCAUGCUGAGAAUGGAGAGGACAAUGGGGUGGGCAAGGGAGUGCAAGACUCACAUCCCAGCCUGAGCUCCAGGAUCUCGGAUAACUUCCCAUCCCUUGGGAAGGUCUGGAGGCAGGGUAAGUAAGACAGCCUAGGGGAGGAGGCUCAGGGUCCCUGAGUGAGGGAACAGAGACUUCUAGUCCUGACCUGGUAGAGGAGGCCCAGUGGCUAAAACACCUGGAGUCAGCCCUCCAAUGAAGUUGGGCAUGGGACAGAGAGCAAGGCCUGAGGGAGGAUGUCACCUGGGAGUGCCCAAGGUGAAUACCAGGGUCAAGGAAACCUGCUAUUGAAUUCUUUUAGAGAUAUGUCUCUCCACAGAGACUGGAUCCCCUCUGUCCUGAGAGAAGGAUGGGUCCUGCGAGCCAGUCUCUCUCUGACACAGGAUCUGAAAACCCAGGGGAACUCCUCACCCUCAGGACCCAAGGAGGGGGACAGGGAAGAAUUCUGGUGUCAAUCCUAUUUUCCUCCCUUUCGGUGGGGCCAGCAGGAGGUACAGCACCUGCCCCAGGGGAGAUCAGGAGGCCUGGCGGCCCCACACACCUGCUUCCUACAAGGUCUCUUUCCCUUUCUCUAGGUACAGGUGGAGCCCCAGCACGUACUCCCUCUGCAGGUAACACCCGGUAGUGCUUGGCUGCUCAGGCCGCCUCCCACUGGCCCCCAGGAUCCGAACCGCCUCCUCCGCUGCCCUCCAGGAGUGCAGGUCCUCCUUCAGGGGGCUGUAAUCGGCGCCCUCCUAGCGAAUUGCUCACACCCGCCGAGGUGGUUCGCAUCGAACCCUAAGUUGCAGCCAGAAGUCCCUUGGACGUGGCGGAGGGCGGUGUGCAGGUUCGGUCGGGAGGUCUGUGCGUCCACCUUGGCGAUCUCCGUCUGCUCGUCCCAAACUGUGUCCCUCCUGCUCCACCCACGGCGCCCACAGCUCUACCCUCGGACUCGCGGCGUCGCUGUGGAAUCGCAGGAACUGCGUGUGGUCCACUUGGCCCACCGAGACGUACAGCGCCUCCCCGCGACCGGUCCGGGACACCGCGGUGUGGAAACACCUCAGGGAGUGGGAACUGUGGGCACAACGGGGCUGAGACCCCGCCCGACCCUCCUCCAGGCCCGGAGCCGGGUCCCAGAUGGAGGCAGCCUGGAGGGCAGGGCGAGGGGCACUCCACGGGG